Molecule: transfer RNA, 73 nt
Filed under: Ailuropoda melanoleuca (giant panda)
Lineage: Eukaryota; Metazoa; Chordata; Mammalia; Carnivora; Ursidae
Rfam family: tRNA
About the family: Transfer RNA (tRNA) molecules are approximately 80 nucleotides in length. Their secondary structure includes four short double-helical elements and three loops (D, anti-codon, and T loops). Further hydrogen bonds mediate the characteristic L-shaped molecular structure. tRNAs have two regions of fundamental functional importance: the anti-codon, which is responsible for specific mRNA codon recognition, and the 3' end, to which the tRNAs corresponding amino acid is attached (by aminoacyl-tRNA synthetases). tRNAs cope with the degeneracy of the genetic code in two manners: having more than one tRNA (with a specific anti-codon) for a particular amino acid; and 'wobble' base-pairing, i.e. permitting non-standard base-pairing at the 3rd anti-codon position.
Source: Rfam by way of RNAcentral
GCCUGGCUGGCUCAGCUGGUAGAGCACGUGACUCUUGAUCUCGGCGUUGUGAGUUCAAGCCCCAUGCCGGGCA